This 102-nucleotide small nuclear RNA is filed under the name Salvator merianae (Argentine black and white tegu). Lineage: Eukaryota; Metazoa; Chordata; Lepidosauria; Squamata; Teiidae. The record is from RNAcentral.
CUGUUUACUAACAUAUAUACUAAAAUUAGAAUGAUACAAAGAAGAUUAGCAUGGCUCCUGCACAAGAAUAACAUGGAAAUUCAUGAAGAGUUCAAUUUAGAA